RNAcentral lists this ribosomal RNA (467 nucleotides) under uncultured bacterium. RNAcentral's name for it is "partial 16S ribosomal RNA". It matches the Rfam family "Bacterial small subunit ribosomal RNA", at positions 28 to 507 of the family's 1533-position model. The record is from RNAcentral.
GAUGAACGCUGGCGGCGUGCUUAACACAUGCAAGUCGAACGGAAAGGCCCAAGCUUGCUUGCGCACUCGAGUGGCGAACGGGUGAGUAACACGCGUGUGAACUCCCCUUCACUUCGGGAUAAGCCUGGGAAACUGGGUCUAAUACCGGAUAGGAUCACUUCUUGCACGUUGUGGAGGAAAGAAUUGUCGGUGUGGGAUGAGCUGGCGGUCUAUCAGCUUGUCGGUGGGAUGAUGGCCUACCAAGGCGUGGACGGGUAGCCGGACUGAGAGAGUGCACGGCCGCACUGAGUCUGAGGUGAGGCACAGGCUGCGACGGGAGGCAGCAGUGCGGAAUCUUGCAGGAGGGGCGCCGGCCUGGUGCUGCAGGGCCGCGUAGCGGAUGACGGCCUUCUGAGUGAAGACUCCAUUUGCAAGGGACGAAGCACUUUGUGACGGUACCUAAUCAGAAAGCCCCGGCUAACUACGUG